Molecule: ribosomal RNA, 466 nt
Filed under: uncultured bacterium
Lineage: Bacteria
Description: partial 16S ribosomal RNA
Rfam family: Bacterial small subunit ribosomal RNA
Source: RNAcentral
GACGAACGCUGGCGGCGUGCUUAACACAUGCAAGUCGAACGGAAAGGCCUCUUUCGGGGGGUACUCGAGUGGCGAACGGGUGAGUAACACGUGAGUAACCUGCCCUUGACUUUGGGAUAACUUCAGGAAACUGGGGCUAAUACCUGAUAGGAGCUCCUGCUGCAUGGUGGGGGUUGGAAAGUUUCGGCGGUUGGGGAUGGACUCGCGGCUUAUCAGCUUGUUGGUGGGGUAGUGGCUUACCAAGGCUUUGACGGGUAGCCGGCCUGAGAGGGUGACCGGCCACAUUGGGACUGAGAUACGGCCCAGACUCCUACGGGAGGCAGCAGUGGGGAAUAUUGCACAAUGGGCGGAAGCCUGAUGCAGCAACGCCGCGUGCGGGAUGACGGCCUUCGGGUUGUAAACCGCUUUCGCCUGUGACGAAGCGUGAGUGACGGUAAUGGGUAAAGAAGCACCGGCUAACUACGUG